AAAUUGAAGAGUUUGAUCAUGGCUCAGAUUGAACGCUGGCGGCAGGCCUAACACAUGCAAGUCGAACGGUAACAGGAAACAGCUUGCUGUUUCGCUGACGAGUGGCGGACGGGUGAGUAAUGUCUGGGAAACUGCCUGAUGGAGGGGGAUAACUACUGGAAACGGUAGCUAAUACCGCAUAACGUCGCAAGACCAAAGAGGGGGACCUUCGGGCCUCUUGCCAUCGGAUGUGCCCAGAUGGGAUUAGCUAGUAGGUGGGGUAACGGCUCACCUAGGCGACGAUCCCUAGCUGGUCUGAGAGGAUGACCAGCCACACUGGAACUGAGACACGGUCCAGACUCCUACGGGAGGCAGCAGUGGGGAAUAUUGCACAAUGGGCG
This 380-nucleotide ribosomal RNA is filed under the name Escherichia coli. Its description in RNAcentral is "bacterial SSU rRNA". It matches the Rfam family "Bacterial small subunit ribosomal RNA", at positions 1 to 377 of the family's 1533-position model. The record is from RNAcentral. Lineage: Bacteria; Pseudomonadati; Pseudomonadota; Gammaproteobacteria; Enterobacterales; Enterobacteriaceae. RNAcentral also lists the same sequence under 2 other names.